CGGCAACAAAUGAGGCAACAUAAAGGAGGAGAGCAAGGGUAGCAGUGCAUCAAACAAACCAUAAGAUGAGGAAAAACUGAAAAUUCUUCUUGAACUUGAAAAAUUUGUUGAUAUCUGACUUUGCAUACUGGAAAAUCUAAAAGGUUGCAUCCACUACACACUGCAUAUUACCUACCAUUCUGCUACAUAUGCAUUUGCAUGGUCUCACUUUUAAUGAGGUGCCCACAGCCUUAGCCCAAAAGAUUAUAAAGGAAAAAAGAACAAAAAGAAAGGAAAACAAAAAAGCAGAAGGCAAAAACGAAUGAUAGUGCACUUUUUCAAAAUUUGGUUUAGAAAGUAAGUGAACAGAUUUUGGACUUGAGGUUUCAUUUUGUAUCGUAAUUGAAUAGAAGCAAAGACUGAAAUUGAACAUAGAAGCAAAGACUGAAAUUGAACAGGAAUCCAAAUGCCACUGGUAAUUGUACAAAGUUGUUUGAAAUAUAAUUGUACAAACAAAGUGAAAGUGAAGCUUAAAGGAUAACAAGACCAGAUUUGGUAAAAAUUUCAUUGGUAAUUGUACAAAAUUUUGUUUCAAUGGAAAUUAUAGAGAAUAAGAAUGGAAAAAUAGGCUAAAAAGAAAUCAAAAAUGGACAAGACUGUGGGCAAUUGAAUAUGUUCAAGCAGCAUAUGAGCAUAUCGGGCCAAACCACAACAAAUCAACCUUAUAACCCCAUGUUGAAAUACAACUCAAACCAUUCCGAGAACAAUCAACCAGCUCUAAUCAAUCAUUCCAAUAGCAGACAUAGCCCAAAUCUUCAAUUUUGAUAACAUGUAAACACCUCCCAGAAUAUACAUAACUAGCACAAGAAGCCACACAUCAAACAGAAAUCCAACUCAUCUAGCCAGAAUCUCUAGUCCAGAAGAAAUAUAAAACUCUUCUUCAAACUUUAAACUUCAACUUAAACUUCAUCAAUUGACAAAAGAAAUUAAAAUCGGACAAAUAAUGAUACUAGCCAAGACAACCGAGAUCACAACCUCAAUAGCAUGAUUCCAAGAGAUAGAAAUGACCAAAUCUGAAAAGAGAUUACC
Molecule: long non-coding RNA, 1068 nt
Filed under: Fragaria vesca (wild strawberry)
Lineage: Eukaryota; Viridiplantae; Streptophyta; Magnoliopsida; Rosales; Rosaceae
Description: long non-coding RNA (FVES_LNC001749)
Source: RNAcentral